GCGCUCGUGUGAUACGGAGUUUCAUCCGGUAAAGCGAAUGAUCAGAGGAGCUGGGCUCCUUGCGAGCUCAACCUAUUCUCAAACUUUCAAUGGGUGAGACGUCUCGCUGGCUUCACUGCAGCGACGACUCUGAAUCCGAGUGCCCAGUGGGCCACUUUUGGUAAGCAGAACUGGCGAUGCGGGAUGAACCGCAUGUCGAGUUAAGGUGCCUAAGCGGACGCAAAUCAGAUACCAUGAAAGGUGUUGAUUGCUCACGACAGCAGGACGGUGGCCAUGGAAGUCGGCAUCCGCUAAGGAGUGUGUAACAACUCACCUGCCGAAGCAAUCAGCCCUGAAAAUGGAUGGCGCUAAAGCGUUCCACCGAUACUCGACCGUCGUCGGCAGGCGACGUGCAUGCCACGUCUCAAGCCACGACGAGUAGGGCGGCGCGGUGGUGAGCGUCGAAGGCGUAGCCGUGAGGCUAGCUGGAGCCGCCAUCGGUGCAGAUCUUGGUGGUAGUAGCAAAUACACAAGCAAGAUCCUUGUGGACCGAUGUGGAGAAGGGUUCCGCGCGAACAGUACUUGGACGUGGGUGAGUCGGCCCUAAGCCAACGGGUAAUUCCCGCAUCCCGUGUUGACCGUUUCUGAAUCGAAUAACAUGGGUUGAU
This 647-nucleotide ribosomal RNA is filed under the name Wanella milleporae. RNAcentral describes it as "eukaryotic LSU rRNA". It matches the Rfam family "Eukaryotic large subunit ribosomal RNA", at positions 985 to 1593 of the family's 3401-position model. Lineage: Eukaryota; Metazoa; Arthropoda; Thecostraca; Balanomorpha; Balanidae. The record is from RNAcentral.